This 292-nucleotide ribosomal RNA is filed under the name uncultured microorganism. RNAcentral describes it as "partial 16S ribosomal RNA". It matches the Rfam family "Bacterial small subunit ribosomal RNA", at positions 505 to 796 of the family's 1533-position model. The record is from RNAcentral.
GUGCCAGCAGCCGCGGUAAUACGUAGGGUGCAAGCGUUAAUCGGAAUUACUGGGCGUAAAGCGUGCGCAGGCGGUUUUGUAAGUCUGUCGUGAAAUCCCCGGGCUCAACCUGGGAAUUGCGAUGGAGACUGCAAGGCUAGAAUCUGGCAGAGGGGGGUAGAAUUCCACGUGUAGCAGUGAAAUGCGUAGAGAUGUGGAGGAACACCGAUGGCGAAGGCAGCCCCCUGGGUCAAGAUUGACGCUCAUGCACGAAAGCGUGGGGAGCAAACAGGAUUAGAUACCCUGGUAGUCC